CAUACAGUGGUAUUUCUGGUGUUUGUCAAGGUAUCAUUAUGGUUCACUUCUUAAAAAUCCAAGAAUCCUUUGGGCAUUAUCUGGGACUUAGAAAAAGAAUGUAAAAAGAAGGUCUGGAUAACAGCCCCAGUCUUGCUGAAACAAAGGUGUUUAAGUUCCAGAGCAUCUCAGGUUUUGUGAGCUGAACUGCCAAGGGAAAUCUUGAUUGCACACCUAAUUGUGGAGCAGAAAUCAAAUGGACCCAUGCGAGAUUCUCUUGUUGCUACAGAUCUCCAAGUAAUUAUGAAAG
Leopardus geoffroyi (Geoffroy's cat) is the source of this 289-nucleotide long non-coding RNA. RefSeq lists it as uncharacterized. The transcript is spliced from 3 exons. NCBI's taxonomy places the organism in Eukaryota, Metazoa, Chordata, Mammalia, Carnivora, Felidae. The record is from RefSeq and is a predicted model, not a curated record.